Megalobrama amblycephala (Wuchang bream) is the source of this 921-nucleotide long non-coding RNA. RefSeq lists it as uncharacterized. The record is from RefSeq and is a predicted model, not a curated record. The transcript is spliced from 6 exons. NCBI's taxonomy places the organism in Eukaryota, Metazoa, Chordata, Actinopteri, Cypriniformes, Xenocyprididae.
GUAAUAAAUGAUGGCGUCCUGCACCCCAGCAGAGCUGAGCAACCUCCUGUCAAAGGCCAUGAACCAGACGACUAUAGUUGUUUCAGUGAGAUUGUCCUUGAAAGGCCUUUAGGCUAAAUAAUCAGCUAAAUGAGGUCUGUUUUGAGUUAUGUUUGCCAGUGAACAGACACCAUACUGUUCCACUCAAAGAUGAGAUGUAAUCUCUAGCGUUUGGUGCUGAGAUUCUUCAGGACAAGACCUUGAUGCCAUUCACACUCACUACAUGUAGACGAUUCACCAAACAUCUGGCUGAUUACUGGCAAUUUGCAUUAAAGACAGUGGAGAAGUGAAGAGAGUGGAGGGGAGGGCAUCAGAAAGGACCUUGAGCUGCGACUGUCUUGGAUCACCCAAAGCACAACUACACUAUGUGUCCAAGCACUGAACAAGGCUUUUCUCCUUUACAUAUUAAAUGAAUUUAAUUUAAGGCAGGGUUUUAUUUUUUCCUGCUUAGUGAACUACUAGGUGGCUUCCUCUGUCAAAUUUGAUGCUGUCUCCAGCUAUUAACAAAACUCAGACAGGCAGUCACAUGCUCCGAUUCCCCUUUUCCACCAACACAGUUCUGUUGCAGGAUCCUUCCUGUGUCCAUUCUCAAACUGUUCCACGCACCUCCACUGCACAAAAGGAAGUUCCAGGGCAGAAAUAUUGGUACACUCCCUCUUCGACAUCCUUCGCCAGUCAUCACAUUCACAACCACCACAGUCAACACAAGCUAAGGUCCCUGGUCCACAGCAUUAACCAUCUUUGUAGGAAGAUCAAUACUGCAUUUCUUGAUUUAUCUUUAAAAUUAACAGUUUUCUUAUGGAGUGCAAUCCCUCUCUGGACGGACUGAGGUCUCUCGGUCUUACAAAAUACUGUCAGACACUGCAUAUGAUGUUCUCAAAA